Molecule: unclassified non-coding RNA, 239 nt
Filed under: plant metagenome
Description: partial contains 5.8S ribosomal RNA, internal transcribed spacer 2, and large subunit ribosomal RNA
Source: RNAcentral
CACGGAACCGAUCGCGAGCGUGGAGAUUCCGGUCACCGCCUGACCGAUCGUGCAGCCCAUCGCGAGCACGCCGCCGAUACCCAUCAUCGCGCCGCCCAGCACGUGGUUGCCGAAAUCCUUGAAAGUGACGAAGCGCUCGUAACGGAAGUCUCUCGUGAAGAGCGAGUAGAGCAACGCGCCCAGGAUCACGCCGGACAGCGCCAUCACGCCGAAAUUGAUCAGCGAAAAAUUGGCCGGAU